This 204-nucleotide ribosomal RNA is filed under the name uncultured bacterium. Its description in RNAcentral is "partial 16S ribosomal RNA". It matches the Rfam family "Bacterial small subunit ribosomal RNA", at positions 571 to 774 of the family's 1533-position model. The record is from RNAcentral.
GGAGGCGGCCUUGUAAGUUGGGGGUGAAAUCCCGGGGCUCAACCCCGGAACUGCCUCCAAAACUACAAAGCUAGAGGAUGUGAGAGGAUAGUGGAAUUCCGAGUGUAGAGGUGAAAUUCGUAGAUAUUCGGAAGAACACCAGUGGCGAAGGCGACUGUCUGGCACAUUUCUGACGCUGAGGUGCGAAAGCGUGGGGAGCAAACA